RNAcentral lists this unclassified non-coding RNA (550 nucleotides) under Cutaneotrichosporon middelhovenii. Lineage: Eukaryota; Fungi; Basidiomycota; Tremellomycetes; Trichosporonales; Trichosporonaceae. The record is from RNAcentral.
GGGAUCUGUAGCAGUAGAGUAGCCUUGUUGCUACGAUCUGCUGAGGCUCAGCUCUUGUUCUACAGAUUUGUGCUUUUGCACUCUCUCCGGUUGUCAUGGAGUGGGGCAGGUUAUUGCUCCGCUUUGUGGCCAUCGUAGGCAGUGAACUUGCAUGGGACUGUGUGGACUUGCAUGGGACUGUGUGGACUUGCAUGUAUCUUCAGUUAUGAGGACUUGCACUUGACCAAAAUGGUCUGAUAUAGUUAUAUAAAUUAUAAAUUAUUGGUUUCUAGCUGAGACAGGUAUCUGGUCUCAGAGCCCUGAGUGUCUAACAUGUCAUCCGGAUGCGGGUGUGGCACUUGGACCAGUGACCGAGGGUGUUAAUAUUCGUUCGAACAGUCAAUCUGGCCUUCUUAAAUGUCUUGGUACAUGGACCGACGGACAGAGCAUGAAAAUAACAGAGUACGAGCUGGGUGAGGCCAGCCAGCCGGUCAGCUUAUAGGCUGCUAAAAUGCAUACUAGUAUCUACGGCCAUAGGACUGAGAAAAUACCGCAUCCCGUCCGAUCUGAA